Molecule: transfer RNA, 74 nt
Organism: Stereum hirsutum FP-91666 SS1
Lineage: Eukaryota; Fungi; Basidiomycota; Agaricomycetes; Russulales; Stereaceae
Rfam family: tRNA
About the family: Transfer RNA (tRNA) molecules are approximately 80 nucleotides in length. Their secondary structure includes four short double-helical elements and three loops (D, anti-codon, and T loops). Further hydrogen bonds mediate the characteristic L-shaped molecular structure. tRNAs have two regions of fundamental functional importance: the anti-codon, which is responsible for specific mRNA codon recognition, and the 3' end, to which the tRNAs corresponding amino acid is attached (by aminoacyl-tRNA synthetases). tRNAs cope with the degeneracy of the genetic code in two manners: having more than one tRNA (with a specific anti-codon) for a particular amino acid; and 'wobble' base-pairing, i.e. permitting non-standard base-pairing at the 3rd anti-codon position.
Source: Rfam
GACUCCAUAGCUCAGUGGUUUAGAGCAUGCGAUUGCAGAUCGCAGGGUCGCGUGUUCAAAUCACGCUGGGGUCU